Long non-coding RNA from Pan troglodytes (chimpanzee), 2203 nucleotides. RefSeq lists it as uncharacterized. Lineage: Eukaryota; Metazoa; Chordata; Mammalia; Primates; Hominidae. The record is from RefSeq and is a predicted model, not a curated record. The transcript is spliced from 3 exons.
GACUGAGGCAAAAAAGGCAAGAAAAAAUAAAAGGCCAUGUAGACUGAAAAGGAAGAAGUAAAACUGUCUUUGCAGAGAAAAAAUGGAUUGCUUAUACAUGAAUGAUAGUCUGCUGACAGAUUUCUCAUCGGCAUCAGCAGAAUACAGCAAAUAAACAUCUUCUAACAGUUGAGGUAAAUGAACUGUCUGCUUAAGAGUCAAUAACCAAUGAAAAUAUCAUUCAAAGGCAAAACUCACAGAUUCUUCCCAAGAGAACACUAAAUGAUAUACCUCAGUCACAAGAAAACAAUGGAGAAGAGUGGGAUAUGGAGAAAAGAAGAGUGGAGAAGUGAAGUAUCAAACUUGUAUGAGGUCACACAGCUAAAGACUACAGCUAGGAGAAUGUCCUCUAGCUCAGAAAUGACGUGAAACUCAAAAAGCAAUUCUAACAGUCUGCAUUUAUUCUUUUAGCUCAUUUGUGACCCAGAGAGUUUUAAUGUCUGUGAGUUCUAGAAUGUAUAAGAAAAAUUUACUCAGGCACUAUCCUUUGAAUUAGAACAUGGAACAACAAGGUCCUAUAAAUUGUGAUAAUUUAUCUUAUUUGAAAUCCCAGUUAUGCAGAGUGAUUUUUCAGUCACUUGCAUAAUUACAGAAAAUUUGAGAAAUAUUAAGUAAUCGGUGGUGAUAUGACCAUGUUCAGAAACCAAAGGCCAAAAGAGAAGCCAAAUUGAAUAAACAAAAUUGUCUUAGUAAAUAGCAAAAUGUAGAGUUCCUCUGUAAUUGGAGGUAAAUUCUAAACAAUAAAACACAUGUGAUGUUUUGUUUUUUAAAAAGAUCACCUGAUUUGUUCUUAAACCAGGCUUACAAGCUACAAUAUAAUCUUUUAAAAUUAUAGGUAAUUACAAAAAGGCACAUUAAACUUCAGUUAAUCACAGUUGUUUCAAAAAUAUGUCCCUUCUCUUAACAAAGCAGUAACUCAGCCAAAACUUGGAUAAACUGGCAUUUCCUUAGAUCACAUGUUUCAUUCCUAAACACAAUGCCCCUUGUGUUUCUUUCAGGUGUCCAUACUUUCUCUGAAAAAUAGAUCUCCCCUUCCAAAGCUUGAGCAUUAUCUACUCUUUGUUUGAAAAUAAAUGCAUUGUUCAUGUGGGGACUAGUAACGCAGGUGUUUUACCUCUCUUUUCCCAGUCAGGCUGAUUCUUAAGCCUUUUAUGAAAUCAGUUCAGUUUAGUCAAAUCUCUGACAUCCACUUUUUAUUGCCAUUUCCCUUUAUGGCUAUAAUAUCAGCCCUAAAUACAACAAGAUCAUCUUUUAUUCCAUUAUGUUUACCUCUUUCUUCUACAACAGUUAUCUUAGAAGAUGUUUACAUUUUUAGUUAAUAUCUCAAGUCUUGCCAACAUUCUGCUUUCUUCUCACUUCUUGAAGACUAACUCUGGGGCAAGGCCAAAGUUCAGAUCAAGCAUUAAUAGUUCAAGUUGCUUUCAUUUUUCCUAAACUCCUUAAGGUACCCAGAUUUGCUCCUGUCACUGGAAAGCACUGUCUAAAAGCUUUGCAUGAAAUUAAACUCCCUGAGGUGUGACCAAACUGAAUAAAGCCGUGGAGGGAUGUAUUGAAGCAACUCUUCCUGAGUGAGGCAUGAGAAACACUGACAUUCUUAGCACAGCAAGGAUUGGUGUUGGGUGUCAGGUAACUGAUUGUGUCUUCUGAAAUACAGAGUUUCAACCCCUCAUUUUAUUUCCAAACAAUCACUUUUAUGUUACUCUCUAGAGAAUGAGGAGGGUCGGAUCUUAGAUCAUGGGGCAUGCUAUAGCUGAGAACGGAAAAAGGGGAGCAGAAUUACUUAAAGACUUCAUCUCUUCAAUGCAGAGGAUAGUAAUUGAUAUUACUUAUCAAAGUAUCUCUUUUCUAGCUAUGCAACAUGAAGUUUCAAGCAAUUUAUUAUUGUCAUUGAUGUCUCAAUUGUGUACAUAAUCCCCUUUUCCUGUCAUUUACGAUACUAAAAUAUACUUUAGUAAAAUAUAGUACAUAUUUUAGGUUUUUAUCAUAUUGUUUUCAUGGCUAAGAGGUUUAACAAUUUCAUCUUUUAUUAUAAAUGUUAGAAGGUUUAUGUGAAAAUAGUGAAUAAUCAGUAAAUAAUCUAGCUUCUUUUUCUAAUUGCAGUGUUUUUCUUAAUAUGACAAUGUACUGAAAGCUUUGUUGAUUAAAAGUGGAAUGUAACACGUUC